Molecule: long non-coding RNA, 1064 nt
Filed under: Cricetulus griseus (Chinese hamster)
Lineage: Eukaryota; Metazoa; Chordata; Mammalia; Rodentia; Cricetidae
Description: lncRNA (ENSCGRG00015034287.1)
Source: RNAcentral
GGACCACAGCUGGGGCUGUUGGUCAGAAUAUUUACAAGUAGCCUCUCCAUGGGACCUUUGCUUCCUCAUAUCAAAAUGACUAAAAUCUGAAACUGGGUGCCUCCAGGUGACCAGGCAGAAAUUGAUGGCUUUUGUGACCAGGACAUUUAUCUGCUUCCUAGAAAUGUGAUUUGGAUGUUAUUUAAUAUCUGGAAUGUCGAGAAGCCUAUAGGACCCCAAGGAUGACCAGGUAUCCCAGCUGCUUCAGUGAGUGGAACUGAUUGUCUUUGGCACUGAGGAAGAUUUCUACACCCCUGCAAAUAUGGUGGUUCUUUUGGAAAGCCUGGCCCUACACCAAUGACUAAUGCCUUGACUCUGAGUCAAGAAAUAUGCAGACCAGUCUGCAUAUUUUCAAGAACCUGUUCUGACUAGUCUCUAUGGUCAACCUAAUGCAACCAAGAGUCACCUGAGAAGAGGGAGUCUCAACCUAGGCAGUGCCCAGAUCAGACUGGCCUAUGGCUAUGUCUGUGGGAAAUUGUCAUGAAUGUUGACUGAUAUGGAAAGGCUUAGCCUACUGUUAGAAAUGCCACCAAUGGGCAGAUAGUCCUAGGGUGUAUAAGAAAGUUUAUCAAGAGUCAGGCAGAGGCAGACAGAUCUUUGUGAGUUUGAGGCCACUGGUCUACAGAGUGAGUUCCAGGACAGCUUCCAAAACUACACAGAGAAAUCUGUCUCAAAAAAAAAAAAAAAAAAAAAAGACUAUGGGGCCCUUUGUAGUGGAUCAAUACUUAUCCCUAGUAUAGGAAUGGACUCUGGGAGCCCAUCCCAUAUGGAAGUAUACUCCCUGAGCCUAGACACAAGGGGGUUGGCCUAGGCCCUAUCCCAAAGGAUAUGACAGACUUUGAAGACCUCCUACAGAAGGACUCACCUUCCCUGGGGAGCAGAAAGGGUAUGGGUUAGGUAGAGUAUUAGUUGGGGGGUCUGGGGAGGAGGGGAGGGAGAGGGACCUGGGUUUUUUUUUGUUUUUUUGUUUGUUUGUUUGUUUGUUUUGAGACAGUGUUUCCCUGUGGCUUUGGAGGCUGUCCUGG